UACGGAGGGUGCAAACGUUAAUCGGAAUUACUGGGCGUAAAGCGCGCGUAGGCGGUUUGUUAAGUCGGAUGUGAAAGCCCUGGGCUCAACCUGGGAAUGGCAUCCGAGACUGGCAGGCUAGAGUGCAGCAGAGGGGUGUGGAAUUCCCGGUGUAGCGGUGAAAUGCGUAGAUAUCGGGAGGAACAUCAGUGGCGAAGGCGGCACCCUGGACUGAUACUGACACUGAGGUGCGAAAGCGUGGGGAGCAAACAGG
RNAcentral lists this unclassified non-coding RNA (253 nucleotides) under uncultured Gammaproteobacteria bacterium. RNAcentral describes it as "contains 16S-23S intergenic spacer region". It matches the Rfam family "Bacterial small subunit ribosomal RNA", at positions 524 to 776 of the family's 1533-position model. The record is from RNAcentral. Lineage: Bacteria; Pseudomonadati; Pseudomonadota; Gammaproteobacteria.